RNAcentral lists this ribosomal RNA (504 nucleotides) under uncultured bacterium. RNAcentral describes it as "bacterial SSU rRNA". It matches the Rfam family "Bacterial small subunit ribosomal RNA", at positions 791 to 1301 of the family's 1533-position model. The record is from RNAcentral.
UAGUCCACGCCGUAAACGAUGGAUACUAGCUGUUCGGACUUCGGUCUGAGUGGCCAAGCGAAAGUGAUAAGUAUCCCACCUGGGGAGUACGUUCGCAAGAAUGAAACUCAAAGGAAUUGACGGGGGCCCGCACAAGCGGUGGAGCAUGUGGUUUAAUUCGAUGAUACGCGAGGAACCUUACCAGGGCUUAAAUGUAGUCUGACAGCUGUAGAGAUACGGUUUUCUUCGGACAGAUUACAAGGUGCUGCAUGGUUGUCGUCAGCUCGUGCCGUGAGGUGUCUGGUUAAGUCCUAUAACGAGCGCAACCCCUGUUGUUAGUUGCCAGCGAGUCAAGUCGGGAACUCUAACAAGACUGCCAGUGCAAACUGUGAGGAAGGUGGGGAUGACGUCAAAUCAUCACGGCCCUUACGUCCUGGGCUACACACGUGCUACAAUGGUAGGUACAGAGAGCAGCCACAACGCGAGUUGGAGCGAAUCUAUAAAACCUAUCACAGUUCGGAUCGG